AAAAAAAAAAAAAAUAUUAACCUAUUAAUAAUAUAUAAGAAUUGUUUAAAAGGCUUCACAUAAUAUAUUCUCAAUGAAAGAAUUCAUUACUUAACUCUUAAAAAUAUAAUUAAUAUGCGCCAUGAUAUUCGUAUUUGAAAAAAAAAAAAAAAAAGAUUUACAGAAUUAAUCAUACAUAUAGAGUAAGUACAAAAAAACAUUGCAAGUCUAAAUAUUCUCAUAAUACAAAAUCAUACGUACUAGUUCGAGUUACGUAUAUAUAUGCCAUAUUAAUUUUCGAACGAUCUUUUAUAUUUUCAAAAAUUGUCAAAAACAAUUGUUGAAAAUAAUUAAUUGUUUAGCACAAAAAUCAAUGUAAAUUCAAUUCAAACGUUUAUCUAAUUACCAUACCCCAGUUAGUUAGUUGUAGUACAUUGGUAAUUUUUUUUUUCUCUUUUAUCUAUACUUCCUGCCUUUCUUUUUGUUUUCUUAUUCAUUAAGAUAGAUCACGGUUGAAAAAAUUAAUCUCGUCGAUAUAUUCGAAAAAAAAAAAACAAAAAAAAAACAAAAAAACAAAAUCAAUUCACUUCUGGCGUCGUUUACCUAUUGAAUUUCUUUGUAAUUUUGGAUCGUUCGUGGUUGAAAUUGUCUCGAAUGAUGAUUUUGAUUGAUAAGAUCCUGAAUUUUUGGAUCUCAUUGGACAAUGGCUCACGGUAUGCGCUGUAUCUCCAGUAGCACCACAGAUCGGACACGUAUAUGCCCUAUUAAAAAAUAAAACUAUUAUUGGCAUAUGAUUUAAAUUCAAUAUAAAAAUUUAAGCUCAACACGAUCGAUAUUAUCAUUAUCGAUAAUAUCGAUCGAGUGUUCUCAAGUUCGAGAAUUAAAUCUAUCAAGGAUUUCUACGAAGGAAGAAAAUAAAAUUAAAACAUUAUAUUAUAAAUAUACGAUUAAUAUUAAAUUUAAUUAAACACAAAUUGAAAUUAUACUCUAUCGAUAUCUUUAUCGAUAAUAUUGCCGACUGAAUGAAAUCAAGUUAAAGAAAAUAUUUGACAGCAACGCCACCUACCGAGAAUCCCUAUGAAAUAAAAAUACUAAAAACAAAUGAAAUCACGAAACUAUCGACGAACUCUCGUAUCUCGAAGCUAUCGGAUAAAAGACAUCGAAAGUACUUUCGUGCUAUUGUAAUAGAAAUCCCCUCUCGGGUUUACUCUCUACAGAGGAUAAACAUACUAGACGUAUUAUAUAUGUCCGUGAAUAAAUACGAUUUAUCAUUUCCUCGCCGCUUACCUUCAAAGCUGCAUGCGUAGCGACGGCGGUGCCAGCGUCCAAAAAGUAGAAAACAAAAGACGAAAACUUUUACAAAGCUCAGAAUUUUUCACAAGAUAGAAUACGAAGAAAAAAGUAUAUAUAUGUGUAUGCAUAUAUAUAUAUAUAUAUAUAGGUUAAAUGUUAAAGAUUAAUAUAUAUUAUGUUAGUAUAUAUUUGAAAAAUUAAAAAAUAUUUUCACCUAAGAACGGGACACUGCACACGGCCAUCAGCAUACUUGAUCAAAUGUUGCCGAUAAUAUAUUUCCUCAACGCCAUUGUUUCUACAAAAGACGCAUACGUUUGGUAAUGGCUUUUUCGGCUUUUUUCGACGAAUAUUAGCUACAGGCUGUUGAUAAUCGUCGACAUCCGGACAAUAUUCAAAAUCCCGUCCAUUGUGACGAAAUUCUUCCAUCACGUCGUCCACUGUAUUAACAAAACACAUAUACAUAUGUACAUACAUACAUAAACACAUUUUUAUUAUAGAAUUACAAUGUAAUAUUCGAAUCGAUAAUCAAACGAGCAUAUUUGUUUUUGAUAUUCUAUCGUAUUAAUGUAUCUUCUCUACACAUAAAUGUUCCUCUUUUAAAAACUAA
This is a long non-coding RNA of Vespa velutina, 1879 nucleotides long. RefSeq lists it as uncharacterized. NCBI's taxonomy places the organism in Eukaryota, Metazoa, Arthropoda, Insecta, Hymenoptera, Vespidae. The transcript has 2 exons. The record is from RefSeq and is a predicted model, not a curated record.